RNAcentral lists this unclassified non-coding RNA (551 nucleotides) under Hevea brasiliensis (rubber tree). Lineage: Eukaryota; Viridiplantae; Streptophyta; Magnoliopsida; Malpighiales; Euphorbiaceae. The record is from RNAcentral.
CACAAAAAACCCAUCAUUUCUCACGGCUUGCACACUCAAAUUCCUCACCAACUCCAUAGCAUUAGCGCUGAAAACAGUCUUAUUUCCGCCAGAAAAAUCCCCAUCUGCACAUGCUGUUUCGUCCUGUGAACUCAGCGUCUCGUUAAAGAAAUUAUAAUCAUCGUACCUUAAAUAGCACCCAUCGUAGAAAAGUCUGCCCCCACGAGUGCCUCUUUGGAAAGGGAGGCACCUCAAAACCUGAGUCUUGCACUGGGCGAAACAGAGAUUGCAAUCUGUUUGAUCAAGAUCUUUCAUGCACUCACCAAAGGUAUAUACUGUAUUGUUACCUGUCCCGUUGAUAACAGCUCCGUACUGUAGCCUCGCAAUCAAAGGAGUCACUGCGUCCAUUGUAGCUAAGAAAUUUGCUACGAAGAUUUGCCUCUCUUGCAUCGGGGCUGUUCUGUUUGAGCACAUCCGACCUGCCUCCGUAGCUCUUGGAUCAGACAAGGAAAUUUUCACCAAGAAACAGGAACAGAAAAGCAGAGAGAUCACAUAAUAACCAUAUGGGAAAG